AUUUAUAUAGUUUAAUUAAAACACUAUAUUUUCACUAUAGAAAUAAAGGUAACUUUUAUAAAUA
This 64-nucleotide transfer RNA is filed under the name Neostylopyga rhombifolia (harlequin cockroach). RNAcentral's name for it is "tRNA-Glu". It matches the Rfam family "tRNA". From Rfam's summary of the family: Transfer RNA (tRNA) molecules are approximately 80 nucleotides in length. Their secondary structure includes four short double-helical elements and three loops (D, anti-codon, and T loops). The record is from RNAcentral. Lineage: Eukaryota; Metazoa; Arthropoda; Insecta; Blattodea; Blattidae.